Molecule: unclassified non-coding RNA, 314 nt
Filed under: plant metagenome
Description: partial contains 5.8S ribosomal RNA, internal transcribed spacer 2, and large subunit ribosomal RNA
Rfam family: 5.8S ribosomal RNA (bases 1-105)
Source: RNAcentral
GAAAUGCGAUAAUUAAUGUGAAUUGCAGAAUUCAGUGAAUCAUCGAGUCUUUGAACGCACAUUGCGCCCCCUGGUAUUCCGGGGGGCAUGCCUGUCCGAGCGUCAUUGCUGCCCUCAAGCACGGCUUGUGUGUUGGGCUUCCGUCCCUGGCAACGGGGACGGGCCCAAAAGGCAGUGGCGGCACCAUGUCUGGUCCUCGAGCGUAUGGGGCUGUGUCACCCGCUCCCGUAGGUCCAGCUGGCAGCUAGCCUCGCAACCAAUCUUUUUAACCAGGUUGACCUCGGAUCAGGUAGGGAUACCCGCUGAACUUAAGC